Micropterus dolomieu (smallmouth bass) is the source of this 2416-nucleotide long non-coding RNA. RefSeq lists it as uncharacterized. The transcript is spliced from 2 exons. Lineage: Eukaryota; Metazoa; Chordata; Actinopteri; Centrarchiformes; Centrarchidae. The record is from RefSeq and is a predicted model, not a curated record.
GCUACAUGUAUGGAGCUGGCGCUCGCUCUCAGCAGGUCCGAGGACUGAGGGCGGGUCUGACGACAGGACUGAGGACACUGAGGACAGCUCUGAGAACAGCUCUGAGACAGUUUUGAGGACUGAUGACAGGUCCAAGGACUCUGAGGACAGCUCUGUGGACAGAUCUGAUGACUGAAGACAGGACUGAGGACAGGUCUGAGGAAUGAGGGCGGGUCUCAGGAGAGGUCUGAGGACACUGAGGACAGCUCUGAGGACUGAAGACAGGUCUGAGGACUGAGGGCGGGUCUGAGGACUGAGGGAGGGUCUGAGGACAGGACUGAGGACACCUAGGACAGCUCUGAGAACAGCUCUGAGACAGUUUUGAGGACUGAUGACAGGUCCGAGGACUCUGAGGACAGCUCUGAGGACAGAUCUGAGGACUGAAGACAGGUAUGAGGACUGAGGGCGGGUUUGAGGAGAGGUCCGAGGACACUGAGGACAGCUCUGAGAACUGGUCUGAGGUCUGAGGACAGGACUGAGGACACUGAGGACAGCUCUGAGAACAGCUCAGACAGUUUUGAGGACUGAUGAGAGGUCCGAGGACUCUGAGGACAGCUCUGAGGACAGAUCUGAUGACUGAAGACAGGACUGAGUACAGGUCUGAGGACUGAGGGCGGGUCUGAGGACACUGAGGACAGCUCCGAGACAGUUUUGAGGACUGAUGACAGGUCUGAGGAAUGAGGGCGGGUCUCAGGAGAGGUCUGAGGACACUGAGGACAGCUCUGAGGACUGAAGACAGGUCUAAGGACUGAGGGCGGGUCUGAGGACUGAGGGAAGGUCUGAGGACAGGACUGAGGACAGGACUGAGGACACCUAGGACAGCUCUGAGAACUGAUCUGAGGACUGAGGACAGGACUGAAGACACUGAGGACAGGUCUGAGACCUGGUCUGAGGACUGAGGACAGGACUGAAGACAGGUCUAAGGACACUGAGGACAAAUCUAAGAACUGGUCUGGGGACUGAGGACAGGACUGAGGACAUAUCUGAGGACAUGUCUGAGGACAGGUCUGUGGACACUGAGGACAAAUCUAAGAACUGGUCUGAGGACUGAGGACAGGUCUGAGCACAAGUCCGAGGAUUGAGGAAGGACUGAGAAUAGGUCUGUGGACACUGAGGACAAAUCUAAGAACUGGUCUGAGGACUGAGGACAGGUCUGAGCACAAGUCCGAGGAUUGAGGAAGGACUGAGAAUAGGUCCGAGGACAUUGAGGACAGCUCUGAGAACUGGUCUGAGGACAGGACUGAGGAUACUGAGGACAGCUCUGAGAACAGCUCUGAGACAGUUUUGAGGACUAAGGACAGGUCCUAGGACUCUGAGGAAAGCUCUGAGGACAGAUGUGAUGACUGAAGACAGGACUGAGGACAGGACUGAGGACUGAGGGCGGGUCUGAGGACAGAUCUGAUGAGGACUGAGGGCGGGUCUGAGGACAGAUCUGAUGAGGACUGAGGGCGGGUCUGAGGACACUGAGGACAGCUCUGAGUACAGAUCUGAGGACUGAAGACAGGUCUUUCUUAGAAACCUGUUUCCUUUAUUAAUGUUUUAAUAAAUAAAACAUUCAGAAUGUAUUGAUUAAUGAGUGGACAAAGGUGUCCCAGGUGUGUUGAACGUGAAGCUGUAAAGAUGAACUCUUACGUGUUCUUAUGAAAAAACAAAACUGCCUUCAGCUUUAUUUCAUAGUAGGAGGCGGCUCGAAGCGUCCACAGCCAAAACCAAAGGAGAACGUUCUAGCAGUUUAAAGAACAUUUUCCAUUACAGUAUCGAGCACUCAGAACCAAAUUCAGGUCAGUUACGUAGAUACAGGAACAGAUCUGACCCCAGAUCCCUGUUUGUUCAAGUGUUCAUCUUUCUGAUCAAUUUGGUUUUAGUUUGUUACCUGAUGCUUUAAAAGGUCGUUUCUCUUCAUGAUUGACAGCUGAGUCCUGCUGUGAUUGGGUCAUGGGACCUUGAUGCUAGUAUCACUGUGGUUCUCAGGACCAUCAGCGGCGAGGACAAGCCACCUUAAGUCAGACCGGGACCUAGAGGUUGCUCUGAUGUGGUGGAUUUUAUACUCACUUCUUUUUGCCUGAUUUGAUUUAAACCUGCACUCGCUGAUAUUUUGAUUUGCAGAUGAAACAGGUUGUGAACACAGCGUCACCACUUCCUCCAAAAUUUCUCUGUGCAGUAUUAAAACUCAAACAUAUGUUAGUGACAGAAACAGCAAACACAAAUAUUUCUGCUACACAUUUCCAGUAAACGCUGUGUUUCACAUGUGCAUGUAUGUGUUGUGAUUAGAUCCAGAUAUUGAAUUUGCAUUAGUGUGAAUAUGUUUCUCAUUAUAACAACAUGAUCGAUGAUGUUCGUAAUCUUUCUCUUUCUAAUUAUAAUGUGAUGCUUUCUC